RNAcentral lists this ribosomal RNA (465 nucleotides) under Vreelandella stevensii. RNAcentral's name for it is "partial 16S ribosomal RNA". It matches the Rfam family "Bacterial small subunit ribosomal RNA", at positions 338 to 795 of the family's 1533-position model. Lineage: Bacteria; Pseudomonadati; Pseudomonadota; Gammaproteobacteria; Oceanospirillales; Halomonadaceae. The record is from RNAcentral.
CCUACGGGCGGCAGCAGUGGGGAAUAUUGGACAAUGGGGGCAACCCUGAUCCAGCCAUGCCGCGUGUGUGAAGAAGGCCCUCGGGUUGUAAAGCACUUUCAGUGAGGAAGAACGCCUGGUGGUUAAUACCCAUCAGGAAAGACAUCACUCACAGAAGAAGCACCGGCUAACUCCGUGCCAGCAGCCGCGGUAAUACGGAGGGUGCGAGCGUUAAUCGGAAUUACUGGGCGUAAAGCGCGCGUAGGUGGCUUGAUAAGCCGGUUGUGAAAGCCCCGGGCUCAACCUGGGAACGGCAUCCGGAACUGUCAAGCUAGAGUGCAGGAGAGGAAGGUAGAAUUCCCGGUGUAGCGGUGAAAUGCGUAGAUAUCGGGAGGAAUACCAGUGGCGAAGGCGGCCUUCUGGACUGACACUGACACUGAGGUGCGAAAGCGUGGGUAGCAAACAGGAUUAGAUACCCUGGUAGUC